AUGUGAACUGAACCUCAGAACCCUGAAGGAUUAUAAAGGGAAUGAGAAAAGAAAACCAAUUAUAAAUGAAGCUAUUUUAUGAUUGCAUCAUUCAAAACAAAGGCCACUGUUGAUAAGAUAUAGAGAUCAGAAGCCACAAAAAAGAACCAGUUAUGAAAAGGCAGACCCUUAGCCUUAGCCUUUUUCUGUAAAUCUAAUCCAACAAUAUCUGUUGUAAUUAUCAACAGAAUAGUUAAAGAAUAAUAUUACAUUCUCCCUUAUUAUUGGAAAUUCUCCAAUUAUAGAUUGAUCACACUAAUAUCACAUUCUCAUCUCUUAUUGGUGCUUGAAGGGAGGCAUUGCAAGUUGCAGAUAUUUCUAGCAGUCAAUAGAGGAAAAUUAUAUCUGCCCCACCCAUAAAAAAGGGGGGCAGUCACAAUCUUCUCAACUUUGCAGUAGGUAAACCAAAGCCAUUCCAUUCGUAAAAUAGCCAAAAAUAUGGAAAUUUGGUAGUAGAACACAAAUUCAAUAUAUUGGCAUAAUAGUAUGCUACUAAUAUUAAUCAUUUAAUACAAAGCAAAGACAGAAAGAAAAUUUAUUUUAAACAUUGAAUUUAUUGUUGGAGACAAAUUUAUUCUAAACACUGAAUUUAUUGUUGCAGACCUUGACUUAAAGAACCACUCUGGACUCUGGAGUAUAAUACGGACACAAAUUUACGAUCAAUGCAUAAAAGAAAUUCGAAAUAUCAGAAAGAAAUGAAUUCCACAUGUGUACACUCACAUUUGCACAGCCAUACACACUUCUUUAAUGAUACUGUUUCAUUUACUGAUUGCAGAACUAUAUGCCAUAAUCUAAUGUACAAACUACAAAGCAAUCACCAUGACUGCCAAUCCUAAUUUCCAUGGUCCUAUCCAUGCAGUAGUAUAGAUAUGGUAUAAAAAAUGAGGAAUGCCUGACUUCACAACUAGGAAUAGUGAUCAUGUCAAUGCAUCACAGUCCGAUUGAUAAAUGAUUUGUGAGGUACGCACACAAGGUAGUAGAGUUCAAACAGAAUGAAACAGAAUUUUAUUACUCCAUAAACCCAAAGGACUGCCUUAACAAUGGAAAUAAGAGUCUAGUAUAAUCACUCUUGUGUUAGGGAGGUUUCUACAUAAUAAACAUCACAUAUGCAGAAAGAGAAGUGCUGUUGGAACAAACCCAUUGGUAAUUCAUGUAGCAAAGGAAAGACAUGUAACUUAAAAUCAUCAUUGUGGCUGUCAGAAUGAAAAAAGGUUGAAGCGUAACUAAUUAAUGGUAGAAUCAACUUAAGCAGAUCAAACUUCAGCAAUAAGUCCACCAAAAG
This 1321-nucleotide unclassified non-coding RNA is filed under the name Hevea brasiliensis (rubber tree). The record is from RNAcentral. Lineage: Eukaryota; Viridiplantae; Streptophyta; Magnoliopsida; Malpighiales; Euphorbiaceae.